Molecule: transfer RNA, 89 nt
Filed under: Corchorus capsularis
Lineage: Eukaryota; Viridiplantae; Streptophyta; Magnoliopsida; Malvales; Malvaceae
Description: tRNA CCACVL1_11555
Rfam family: tRNA
About the family: Transfer RNA (tRNA) molecules are approximately 80 nucleotides in length. Their secondary structure includes four short double-helical elements and three loops (D, anti-codon, and T loops).
Source: Rfam by way of RNAcentral
CCGACCUUAGCUCAGUUGGUAGAGCGGAGGACUGUAGUAGCUAGCAGCAGAUAAUCCUUAGGUCGCUGGUUCGAAUCCGGCAGGUCGGA